UCGGGAAUUUUGGGCAAUGGGCGAAAGCCUGACCCAGCAACGCCGCGUGAAGGAUGAAGUAUUUCGGUAUGUAAACUUCGAAAGAAUGGGAAGAAUAAAUGACGGUACCAUUUAUAAGCUCCGGCUAACUACGUGCCAGCAGCCGCGGUAAUACGUAGGGAGCAAGCGUUGUUCGGAUUUACUGGGCGUAAAGGGCGCGUAGGCGGCGCGGUAAGUCACUUGUGAAAUCUCUGAGCUUAACUCAGAACGGCCAAGUGAUACUGCUGUGCUAGAGUGCGGAAGAGGCAACCGGAAUUCUUGGUGUAGCGGUGAAAUGCGUAGAUAUCAAGAGGAACACCUGAGGCGAAGGCGGGUUGCUGGGCCGACACUGACGCUGAUGCGCGAAAGCCAGGGGAGCAAACG
This 402-nucleotide ribosomal RNA is filed under the name uncultured bacterium. RNAcentral's name for it is "bacterial SSU rRNA". It matches the Rfam family "Bacterial small subunit ribosomal RNA", at positions 355 to 774 of the family's 1533-position model. The record is from RNAcentral.